UACGGGGGGGGCAAGCGUUGUUCGGAAUUACUGGGCGUAAAGGGCUCGUAGGUGGCCAACUAAGUCGGACGUGAAAUCCCUCAGCUUAACUGGGGAACUGCGUCCGAUACUGGAUGGCUUGAGUUCGGGAGAGGGAUGUGGAAUUCCAGGUGUAGCGGUGAAAUGCGUAGAUAUCUGGAGGAACACCGGUGGCGAAGGCGGCUAUCUGGACAGAAACUGACGCUGAGGCGCGAAAGCUAGGGGAGCAAACAGG
This 253-nucleotide ribosomal RNA is filed under the name uncultured bacterium. RNAcentral describes it as "partial 16S ribosomal RNA". It matches the Rfam family "Bacterial small subunit ribosomal RNA", at positions 524 to 776 of the family's 1533-position model. The record is from RNAcentral.